AGGCGGUGGUGGAGUCAUGUUUUGAGCCAGAAUCAUGGGAAGAGAGCUGGUCGGCCCCUUUAGGGUCCCCGAAGGUGUAAAGAUGACCUCUGCAAAGUAUGUGGAGUUUCUGACUGACCACUUUCUUCCCUGGUACAGAAGGAAGAACUAUGCUUUCCGUAAUAAAAUCAUCUUCAUGCAUGACAAUGCACCAUAUCAUGCUGCAAAGAAUACCUCUGCAUCAAUGGCUGCUAUGGGGAUAAAAGGAGAGAAAGUCAUGGUGUGGCCUCCAUCCUCCCC
Non-coding RNA from Pelobates cultripes (western spadefoot toad), 279 nucleotides. Lineage: Eukaryota; Metazoa; Chordata; Amphibia; Anura; Pelobatidae. The record is from the annotation of a GenBank genome assembly.